RNAcentral lists this long non-coding RNA (204 nucleotides) under Brassica napus (rape). Its description in RNAcentral is "long non-coding RNA (BNAP_LNC024141)". The record is from RNAcentral. Lineage: Eukaryota; Viridiplantae; Streptophyta; Magnoliopsida; Brassicales; Brassicaceae.
GGGGGCCGGUUAAACCUUCCAUAUUUCUGUUUUAUUAUUUUUAACUUUUUAAUUAUGUUUCUUAUAUGUUUUAGUCCACAUUUGUAUCCUUUUUUAAUUAUAUUUUCCAAAAAAAUUUGAAAAUAUUUUAUGAAUGAACAGGAAAGGCGCUAAAGAUGUUUUACAAAAAAAAAUGUGAAAAACUUGCAUAAAAACAGAUUUUUU